AACGAACGCUGGCGGCAUGCCUAACACAUGCAAGUCGAACGAUCCCUUCGGGGAUAGUGGCGCACGGGUGCGUAACGCGUGGGAACCUGCCCUUAGGUUCGGAAUAACUCAGAGAAAUUUGAGCUAAUACCGGAUAAUGUCUUCGGACCAAAGAUUUAUCGCCUUUGGAUGGGCCCGCGUUGGAUUAGCUAGUUGGUGGGGUAAGGGCCUACCAAGGCGACGAUCCAUAGCUGGUCUGAGAGGAUGAUCAGCCACACUGGGACUGAGACACGGCCCAGACUCCUACGGGAGGCAGCAGUGGGGAAUAUUGGACAAUGGGCGAAAGCCUGAUCCAGCAAUGCCGCGUGAGUGAUGAAGGCCUUAGGGUUGUAAAGCUCUUUUACCCGGGAUGAUAAUGACAGUACCGGGAGAAUAAGCCCCGGCUAACUCCGUG
Molecule: ribosomal RNA, 433 nt
Filed under: uncultured bacterium
Lineage: Bacteria
Description: partial 16S ribosomal RNA
Rfam family: Bacterial small subunit ribosomal RNA
Source: RNAcentral